This 1346-nucleotide ribosomal RNA is filed under the name uncultured bacterium. Its description in RNAcentral is "partial 16S ribosomal RNA". It matches the Rfam family "Bacterial small subunit ribosomal RNA", at positions 28 to 1381 of the family's 1533-position model. The record is from RNAcentral.
GACGAACGCUGGCGGCGUGCUUAACACAUGCAAGUCGAACGGAAAGGCCCUGCUUUUGUGGGGUGCUCGAGUGGCGAACGGGUGAGUAACACGUGAGUAACCUGCCCUUGACUUUGGGAUAACUUCAGGAAACUGGGGCUAAUACCGGAUAGGAGCUCCUGCUGCAUGGUGGGGGUUGGAAAGUUUCGGCGGUUGGGGAUGGACUCGCGGCUUAUCAGCUUGUUGGUGGGGUAGUGGCUUACCAAGGCUUUGACGGGUAGCCGGCCUGAGAGGGUGACCGGCCACAUUGGGACUGAGAUACGGCCCAGACUCCUACGGGAGGCAGCAGUGGGGAAUAUUGCACAACGGGCGGAAGCCUGAUGCAGCAACGCCGCGUGCGGGAUGACGGCCUUCGGGUUGUAAACCGCUUUCGCCUGUGACGAAGCGUGAGUGACGGUAAUGGGUAAAGAAGCACCGGCUAACUACGUGCCAGCAGCCGCGGUGAUACGUAGGGUGCGAGCGUUGUCCGGAUUUAUUGGGCGUAAAGGGCUCGUAGGUGGUUGAUCGCGUCGGAAGUGUAAUCUUGGGGCUUAACCCUGAGCGUGCUUUCGAUACGGGUUGACUUGAGGAAGGUAGGGGAGAAUGGAAUUCCUGGUGGAGCGGUGGAAUGCGCAGAUAUCAGGAGGAACACCAGUGGCGAAGGCGGUUCUCUGGGCCUUUCCUGACGCUGAGGAGCGAAAGCGUGGGGAGCGAACAGGCUUAGAUACCCUGGUAGUCCACGCUGUAAACGGUGGGUACUAGGUGUGGGGUCCAUUCCACGGGUUCCGUGCCGUAGCUAACGCUUUAAGUACCCCGCCUGGGGAGUACGGCCGCAAGGCUAAAACUCAAAGGAAUUGACGGGGCCCCGCACAAGCGGCGGAGCAUGCGGAUUAAUUCGAUGCAACGCGUAGAACCUUACCUGGGUUUGACAUGGAUCGGGAGUGCUCAGAGAUGGGUGUGCCUCUUUUGGGGUCGGUUCACAGGUGGUGCAUGGCUGUCGUCAGCUCGUGUCGUGAGAUGUUGGGUUAAGUCCCGCAACGAGCGCAACCCUUGUUCACUGUUGCCAGCACGUUAUGGUGGGGACUCAGUGGAGACCGCCGGGGUCAACUCGGAGGAAGGUGGGGAUGACGUCAAGUCAUCAUGCCCCUUAUGUCCAGGGCUUCACGCAUGCUACAAUGGCUGGUACAGAGAGUGGCGAGCCUGUGAGGGUGAGCGAAUCUCGGAAAGCCGGUCUCAGUUCGGAUUGGGGUCUGCAACUCGACCUCAUGAAGUCGGAGUCGCUAGUAGUCGCAGAUCAGCAACGCUGCGGUGAAUACGUUCCCGGGGCU